UACAGAGGGUGCGAGCGUUAAUCGGAGUUACUGGGCGUAAAGGGCGCGUAGGCGGCCGUAUAAGUCAGCUGUGAAAUCCCCGGGCUCAACCUGGGAACUGCAGUUGAAACUGUGCGGCUAGAGUCGAAGAGAGGGGGGCGGAAUUUCCGGUGUAGCGGUGAAAUGCGUAGAUAUCGGAAGGAACAUCUGUGGCGAAGGCGGCCCCCUGGAUUCAGACUGACGCUGAGGCGCGAAAGCGUGGGUAGCGAACAGG
Molecule: ribosomal RNA, 253 nt
Filed under: uncultured bacterium
Lineage: Bacteria
Description: partial 16S ribosomal RNA
Rfam family: Bacterial small subunit ribosomal RNA
Source: RNAcentral